UAUUCCUACGGGAGGCAGCAGUGAGGAAUAUUGGUCAAUGGUCGGGAGACUGAACCAGCCAAGCCGCGUGAGGGAGGAAGGUACAGAGUAUCGUAAACCUCUUUUGUCAGGGAACAAAGACUGGGACGCGUCCCCGGAUGAGUGUACCUGAAGAAAAAGCAUCGGCUAACUCCGUGCCAGCAGCCGCGGUAAUACGUAGGGGGCAAGCGUUAUCCGGAUUCACUGGGCGUAAAGGGCGCGCAGGCGGCAUGGCAAGUCUGAUGUGAAAACCCGGGGCCCAACCCCGGGAGUGCAUUGGAAACUGC
This 305-nucleotide ribosomal RNA is filed under the name uncultured bacterium. RNAcentral's name for it is "bacterial SSU rRNA". It matches the Rfam family "Bacterial small subunit ribosomal RNA", at positions 334 to 636 of the family's 1533-position model. The record is from RNAcentral.